This 300-nucleotide ribosomal RNA is filed under the name uncultured Methylocella sp. RNAcentral's name for it is "bacterial SSU rRNA". It matches the Rfam family "Bacterial small subunit ribosomal RNA", at positions 496 to 795 of the family's 1533-position model. The record is from RNAcentral. Lineage: Bacteria; Pseudomonadati; Pseudomonadota; Alphaproteobacteria; Hyphomicrobiales; Beijerinckiaceae.
GCUAACUUCGUGCCAGCAGCCGCGGUAAUACGAAGGGGGCUAGCGUUGUUCGGAAUCACUGGGCGUAAAGCGCACGUAGGCGGAUCUUUAAGUCAGGGGUGAAAUCCCGGGGCUCAACCUCGGAACUGCCUUUGAUACUGGGGAUCUCGAGUCCGGGAGAGGUGAGUGGAAUUGCGAGUGUAGAGGUGAAAUUCGUAGAUAUUCGCAAGAACACCAGUGGCGAAGGCGGCUCACUGGCCCGGUACUGACGCUGAGGUGCGAAAGCGUGGGGAGCAAACAGGAUUAGAUACCCGAGUAGUC